AUUUCUUUCUGUAGCUGGCAAAUUGCCUCUACCAAACUCUUGGAGUUACUUGUCUCUCAUGCUCGUGUCUAUGUAUGUGUCCACACAUACAUAUACACAGCAUGUAGUGAAAUAAUCUUUUUAUGCUUUCCAAGAGUGUUUGAAAACUUAACCUGCAUGUGAAUGAAAAUGAACCUGUCUUUGUCCGUUUUGUUUUCAUAGGGUUUCCCUGGUCCUCGAGGAGAAAAGGGUGAUAUAGGAGAAAAGGGAGAAAAGGGAUUCCGUGGAAUUAAGGGGGAAAAAGGGGAGCCAGGCCAACCUGGCCUGGAUGGGCUGGAUGCCCCUUGCCAAUUGGGUCCCGAUGGAUUACCAAUGCCUGGCUGUUGGCAAAAGUGAUGAAUCUAACCUUACAAGCAUGAAGUUGUGUAUAUAGCGCUCCACUUCUUUUAUUUAUAGUUGAAAACUGAAAAUUUGGUUUUACAAGUCUGAGAUAUGUUUACAUGUAGCUGCUUCUACUUGUUUGCAAUAGUCCAUACGUACUUUUUCACUUACAUCUGCAGUUAGGUGAUACUGCAGGGUAAACCUGCAAAGAUUGUCUCUCUAAUGAGAGAUAUCAAAACAACGAUCAAUAAUAGAAAUUAAUAUUUCUGUAAAUUCUUAUAUUUUGGCUUGUGGAUAUGCAUGGACAAUGAGUGCCAUGAACUAGUUUACAAGAAAUUGUGACCAAAUAAGAGCAAAAUUCUAUAUGUACUGUACCAGCUGCCAUUGGAGUUUAUUGACUUGGUUUCCGUGUCCAUCUUAAAUACUUCACUGAUUCAUGACACCAUAUCUGCUUGUAUGAACUAAAAGCAUGAGUUCGUGUGCCAAACCUGCUUGUUGUGUGAUCACGUCACGCGCUAAAUGGCUGCUCACGGUGACCUUUGAUUCCAGCUUCUGAAUAAUUUCCUUUUGUCAUCUCAAGGGAGUCACACCAUGGCUCAUUGCUAAAAAGAGAUAAACCAGAGGAGCAUAGAAAGAGGCCUUGAAUUUUUGGGGAAU
RNAcentral lists this long non-coding RNA (1017 nucleotides) under Manacus vitellinus (golden-collared manakin). RNAcentral's name for it is "lncRNA (ENSMVIG00005015391.1)". Lineage: Eukaryota; Metazoa; Chordata; Aves; Passeriformes; Pipridae. The record is from RNAcentral.